GGCUCUGAAUUACUGAAUGACCAUUCCCAACGUGCUGAACUUCUGUGAGUUGUAGUUUUGUAAGCCAUUUGUUCUCUUGGUUUUUGUUUGUUUUUCCUUUUGUGUUUUGACAGGACAGAGAGAAACAGAGAAGAGGGGACUAUAAAGAAGGAGAGAGAAAGACACCUGCAGGCAUGCUUCAACACUUGUGAAGGGUCCUCCUUGCAGGUUUUCUGGAAGAUGUGUAGAAAGAUUCAGAGGGCAUCUUCCGGACCUUCUAGAGAGAACAGCUGUUCACAAGAAACUCAACGUGAUUCAAAUCCUACUCACAUCCCUGUUCUCUACUCUGACUCCUGGAAACCCUGCCUGAGACCCUCCCUGAUUGCUGGGCCCCAGAAGGUCCUGGAAGAGGAUGGCAGAAGAGGAACUGUUAUGUGGAAAACUGAGAAAUGUUAUGCAUGUACAAACUGCUGUAUAUUUCUGGCUACUGUAUUUUCUUACUGACUAUAAACCAUUAAUCCCAAUGAUAAUAAUAACCCUACUAGCCUGCCAGGCUGAGAUCAGUGGUUGCUAAUCCUGACUCCUGAGGUUUUCCGCUCACCAACAGCACAUUUCAUUUCUGCUCCCAUUUCAAUGGCUAAAGUGUAGCUUAUCUCAGACACAAAGCCAACAGAGUAGA
Long non-coding RNA from Erinaceus europaeus (western European hedgehog), 658 nucleotides. RefSeq lists it as uncharacterized. Lineage: Eukaryota; Metazoa; Chordata; Mammalia; Eulipotyphla; Erinaceidae. The transcript is spliced from 3 exons. The record is from RefSeq and is a predicted model, not a curated record.